UCUUAUCCAGAGUGACGGAGGGAACAGGCCCGAAGAAGUCCGGCAACCUUCAAGUGAAAGCUUGAAAAGGUGCUAAAUCCUGCAGGUGCAGUACACCUGAAAGAUAAGA
Molecule: non-coding RNA, 109 nt
Filed under: uncultured Ferdinandcohnia sp.
Lineage: Bacteria; Bacillati; Bacillota; Bacilli; Caryophanales; Bacillaceae
Description: SAM riboswitch (S box leader)
Rfam family: SAM riboswitch aptamer (S box leader)
About the family: The SAM riboswitch is found upstream of a number of genes which code for proteins involved in methionine or cysteine biosynthesis in Gram-positive bacteria. The SAM riboswitch acts at the level of transcription termination control.
Source: RNAcentral